AGGGGCAGCAUUAUCGCUUGCGAUAGAUGGCGACCGGCGGACGGGUGCGUAACGCGUAUGCAACCUACCGAUUACCAGGGGAUAGCCCGAAGAAAUUUGGAUUAAUACCCUAUAGUACUAGAUAAUUGCAUGAUUGUUUAGUUAAAGAUUUAUUGGUAAUUGAUGGGCAUGCGUCCCAUUAGCUAGUUGGUGAGAUAACGGCUCACCAAGGCGAUGAUGGGUAGGGGGUCUGAGAGGAUGAUCCCCCACACUGGUACUGAGAUACGGACCAGACUCCUACGGGAGGCAGCAGUAGGGAAUAUUGGUCAAUGGGCGAGAGCCUGAACCAGCCAUGCCGCGUGCAGGAAGACGGCCUUCUGGGUUGUAAACUGCUUUUAUAUAGGAAUAAAAAGGUUCUGCGGGACCCAUUGCAUGUACUAUAUGAAUAAGCACCGGCUAACUCCGUGCCAGCAGCCGCGGUAAUACGGAGGGUGCAAGCGUUGUCCGGAUUUAUUGGGUUUAAAGGGUGCGUAGGCGGUUAUUUAAGUCAGUGGUGAAAUCCCUCAGCUCAACUGAGGAACUGCCAAUGAUACUGGAUAACUUGAUUACCGUAUAGGUAGGCGGAAUUUAUGGUGUAGCGGUGAAAUGCAUAGAUACCAUAAAGAACACCGAUAGCGAAGGCAGCUUACUGGACGGUAAAUGACGCUGAUGCACGAAAGCGUGGGUAGCGAACGGGAUUAGAUACCCCGGUAGUCCACGCCGUAAACGAUGAUCACUCGAUGUGUGCGAUAGACAGUACGCGUCCAAGCGA
RNAcentral lists this ribosomal RNA (790 nucleotides) under uncultured Bacteroidota bacterium. Its description in RNAcentral is "bacterial SSU rRNA". It matches the Rfam family "Bacterial small subunit ribosomal RNA", at positions 65 to 854 of the family's 1533-position model. Lineage: Bacteria; Pseudomonadati; Bacteroidota. The record is from RNAcentral.